RNAcentral lists this ribosomal RNA (468 nucleotides) under uncultured bacterium. RNAcentral's name for it is "partial 16S ribosomal RNA". It matches the Rfam family "Bacterial small subunit ribosomal RNA", at positions 28 to 507 of the family's 1533-position model. The record is from RNAcentral.
GACGAACGCUGGCGGCGUGCUUAACACAUGCAAGUCGAACGGAGAGGCCCUGCUUUUGUGGGGUGCUCGAGUGGCGAACGGGUGAGUAACACGUGAGUAACCUGCCCUUGACUUUGGGAUAACUUCAGGAAACUGGGGCUAAUACCGGAUAGGAGCUCCUGCUGCAUGGUGGGGGUUGGAACGUUUCGGCGGUUGGGGAUGGACUCGCGGCUUAUCAGCUUGUUGGUGGGGUAGUGGCUUACCAAGGCUUUGACGGGUAGCCGGCCUGAGAGGGUGACCGGCCACAUUGGGACUGAGAUACGGCCCAGACUCCUACGGGAGGCAGCAGUGGGGAAUAUUGCACAAUGGGCGGAAGCCUGAUGCAGCAACGCCGCGUGCGGGAUGACGGCCUUCGGGUUGUAAACCGCUUUCGCCUGUGACGAAGCGUGAGUGACGGUAAUGGGUAAAGAAGCACCGGCUAACUACGUG